GUUGAUCAUUCUUUCUCCAGUACGCAGGAAUCAGCGCUGUGCGGAGCCAUGGUCCAAUGAGUGUCUUGCCGUAUGCGUCGGUCAGAACCCAUGCAAGUGCAAUUGCGUUGGCCAAUACAACCAGCACCAAAGGAAUGAAUACAAGUACAUUGGAUGAUCGCCAUUUCUCAGUGUCCUCGAUAAAAGCGGAAUCAGUGUCA
Long non-coding RNA from Dermacentor silvarum, 200 nucleotides. RefSeq lists it as uncharacterized. Lineage: Eukaryota; Metazoa; Arthropoda; Arachnida; Ixodida; Ixodidae. The record is from RefSeq and is a predicted model, not a curated record. The transcript has 2 exons.